This 254-nucleotide ribosomal RNA is filed under the name uncultured bacterium. RNAcentral's name for it is "partial 16S ribosomal RNA". It matches the Rfam family "Bacterial small subunit ribosomal RNA", at positions 524 to 776 of the family's 1533-position model. The record is from RNAcentral.
UACGGAGGGUGCGAGCGUUGUCCGGAAUCAUUGGGCGUAAAGGGCGCGUAGGUGGCCACUUCAAGCGUGCGGUGAAAGUCGGGGGCUCAACCCCUGAUCGGCCGUGCGAACUGGGGGGCUGGAGCACUGUAGAGGCAGGCGGAAUUCCGGGUGUAGCGGUGGAAUGCGUAGAUAUCAGGAAGAACAUCGGUGGCGAAGGCGCUCUGCUGGACCAUAACUGACACUCAGGGACGAAAGCUAGGGGAGCGAAUGGG